GACGAACGCUGGCGGCGUGCUUAACACAUGCAAGUCGAACGGAAAGGCCCUGCUUUUGUGGGGUGCUCGAGUGGCGAACGGGUGAGUAACAAGUGAGUAACCUGCCCUUGACUUUGGGAUAACUUCAGGAAACUGGGGCUAAUACCGGAUAGGGGCUCCUGCUGCAUGGUGGGGGUUGGAAAGUUUCGGCGGUUGGGGAUGGACUCGCGGCUUAUCAGCUUGUUGGUGGGGUAGUGGCUUACCAAGGCUUUGACGGGUAGCCGGCCUGAGAGGGUGACCGGCCACAUUGGGACUGAGAUACGGCCCAGACUCCUACGGGAGGCAGCAGUGGGGAAUAUUGCACAAUGGGCGGAAGCCUGAUGCAGCAACGCCGCGUGCGGGAUGACGGCCUUCGGGUUGUAAACCGCUUUCGCCUGUGACGAAGCGUGAGUGACGGUAAUGGGUAAAGAAGCACCGGCUAACUACGUG
RNAcentral lists this ribosomal RNA (468 nucleotides) under uncultured bacterium. RNAcentral's name for it is "partial 16S ribosomal RNA". It matches the Rfam family "Bacterial small subunit ribosomal RNA", at positions 28 to 507 of the family's 1533-position model. The record is from RNAcentral.